Molecule: long non-coding RNA, 1800 nt
Organism: Cucurbita maxima (winter squash)
Lineage: Eukaryota; Viridiplantae; Streptophyta; Magnoliopsida; Cucurbitales; Cucurbitaceae
Exons: 3
Source: RefSeq, a predicted model, not a curated record
GACAGGCGCAGCAAGUCACUCCCAACAUCCCAUCCCUCAUCUGAGCCCGCGGGAAUAGAAGGGGUGAGAGUGGGCUUAAGGUGUGGCCGGCCGUUCGAGGAAGGUAGGACUACAACUUGUCGAAGGGAGAAGGCACCGGAGGUAGGAGACUGAAACCCACGCUCGCCGGAGAAACUUGAGCUCUAGAUCCACGGGUGUUCGGCAGUCGACUUCGGAUGGAUACAAACUGAAGAGGAAAGUCGAACGAAGGGAGAACGCCAAGUUGCUAUGCGUUUGCGGGCGGACGAUCUACGAGAUUUGAGGAGGAUUGUGGGCGUCGGAAACGAAUCAGAGGGCGAGCCGACGACGAGCAUGAGUUAGGCAAAUUUUGGAACCCUCGGGAGAUGCAAAUCCGAACAAAAAGUGUCACACUUUUCAGGUAAGUGGCACCUCGAAACCUUGGAUUUAACUAUGCUCAUAAUAUGCAUGAAAUUUUGAUAUAAGAAUCUAUGAGUUGAGAUGACACAUGAUGAAUGUGAGUAUGUAUGUUCGCUGAAACUUUUCUGAAACGCGUAUGCAACCACCUUAUGAGCUGAGAUUCAUGACUAGCUUUCCAUUAUUAGAUCAUUAAGUUAUGCCUCCGUCACGCAUGUUACAGUAUUAGCGGUUAUCCGGGGACGAUUGGGGGUUCGCCAACUAACCCCAACCGUAAACCUAACUCGAUUGUCAGGGGUCCGCGUAACCAUAGAACUGGUCAUUUUAUUGUUGAUGGUACCUUAUGGGGACUUAUAGGAAGUUUGCUAGUUAAUUUUCUAUUAGUGAACCUGUCACGAGUGACAGGGGUCCACGUUGGAACAUUAGAGAGUUGGUCAAGAGAUAUUGCUCAUGCCUAUGAGUUAGCAGUUAUCCGGGGAUGAUUAGGGGUUCGCCAACUAACCUCUAAUCGUAAACCUGACUCGAUUGUCAAGGGUCUGCGUAGCUAUAGAACUGGCCAUUUUAUUCUUGAGGGUACCUUGUGGGGACUUGUGGGAAGUUUGCUAGUUAAUUUCCUAUUAGUGAACCUGUCACGAGUGACAGGAGUCCAUAGUGGUACAUUAGAGUUGGUCGAGGUGAUAUUGCUCAUGCCUAUGAGUUAGCGGUUAUCCAGGGACAUUUAGUGGUUUGCUAACUAACCUCUAAUCGUAAACCUGACUCGAUUGUGAGGGGCCCGCGUAACUAUAGAAUUGGCCAUUUUAUUCUUGAGGGUACCUUGUGGGGACUUGUGGAAAGUUUGCCAGUUAAUUUUCUAUUAGUGAACCUGUCACGAGUGACAGGGGUCCACAUUGGUACAUUAGAGUUGGUUGAGAUUUAUUGUUCAUGCGUAUGAGUUAGUGGCUAUUCGGGGACGAUUAGGGGUUCGCCAACUAACCUCUAAUCGUAAACCUGACUCGAUUGUGAGGGGUCCGCGUAACUAUAGAAUUGGCCAUUUUAUUCUUGAGGGUACCUUGUGGGGACUUGUGGGAAGUUUGCCAGUUAAUUUCCUAUUAGUGAACCUGUCACGAGUGACAGGAGUCCACAUUGGUACAUUAGAGUUGGUCGAGAUUUAUUGUUCAUGCGUAUGAGUUAGUGGUUAUCCGAGGACGACUAGGGGUUUCGCUAACUAACCUCUAAUCGUGAACUUGACUCGAAUGUCAGGAGUCUGCGUAACUAUAGAACUGGUCAUUUUAUUGUUAAUGGUACUUUGUAGGGACUGAUAGGAAGCUUGCCAGUUAGUUUCUUUUAAGUGAACUUGUCACGAGUGACAGGGGUCUACAGUAGUACACUUGAGAGUUGGUCGAUUCC